AUACGGGAGGCAGCAGUGGGGAAUCUUGCACAAUGGGGGAAACCCUGAUGCAGCGACGCCGCGUGAGCGAUGAAGCCCUUCGGGGUGUAAAGCUCUUUCGACGGGAACGAUAAUGACGGUACCCGGAGAAGAAGCUGCGGCUAACUACGUGCCAGCAGCCGCGGUAAUACGUAGGCAGCGAGCGUUGUUCGGAGUUACUGGGCGUAAAGAGUAUGUAGGCGGUUGCGCAAGUUUGGUGUGAAAUCUCCCGGCUUAACUGGGAGGGUGCGCCGAAAACUGCGCGGCUAGAGUGCGGGAGAGGAGAGCGGAAUUCCUGGUGUAGCGGUGAAAUGCGUAGAUAUCAGGAGGAACACCGGCGGUGUAGACGGCUCUCUGGACCGCGACUGACGCUGAGAUACGAAAGCGUGGGGAGCAAACAGGAUUAGAUACCCUGGUAGG
Molecule: ribosomal RNA, 438 nt
Filed under: uncultured bacterium
Lineage: Bacteria
Description: bacterial SSU rRNA
Rfam family: Bacterial small subunit ribosomal RNA
Source: RNAcentral